GCCUGGGUGGCUCAGUCGGUUGAGCAUCUGACUUCAGCUCAGGUCAUGAUCUCUCAGUUCGUGAGUUCAAGCUCACAUCAGGCU
RNAcentral lists this transfer RNA (84 nucleotides) under Felis catus (domestic cat). It matches the Rfam family "tRNA". Rfam says of the family: Transfer RNA (tRNA) molecules are approximately 80 nucleotides in length. Their secondary structure includes four short double-helical elements and three loops (D, anti-codon, and T loops). The record is from Rfam by way of RNAcentral. Lineage: Eukaryota; Metazoa; Chordata; Mammalia; Carnivora; Felidae.